GCACCAGACUCCUACGGGAGGCAGCAGUGGGGAAUAUUGGGCAAUGGGCGCAAGCCUGACCCAGCAACGCCGCGUGAAGGAAGAAGGCUUUCGGGUUGUAAACUUCUCUUCUCAGGGACGAAGCAAGUGACGGUACCUGAGGAAUAAGCCACGGCUAACUACGUGCCAGCAGCCGCGGUAAUACGUAGGUGGCAAGCGUUAUCCGGAUUUACUGGGUGUAAAGGGAGCGUAGACGGCCAGACAAGUCUGAAGUGAAAAUCCAGCGCUUAACGCUGGAAGUGCUUUGGAAACUGCCGGGCUGGAGUGCAGGAGGGGCAGGCGGAAUUCCUGGUGUAGCGGUGAAAUGCGUAGAUAUCAGGAGGAACACCGGUGGCGAAGGCGGCCUGCUGGACUGCAACUGACGUUGAGGCCCGAAAGCGUGGGGAGCAAACAGGAUUAGAUACCCUAGUAGAC
Molecule: ribosomal RNA, 453 nt
Filed under: uncultured bacterium
Lineage: Bacteria
Description: partial 16S ribosomal RNA
Rfam family: Bacterial small subunit ribosomal RNA
Source: RNAcentral